AUUACACACCUGAAAGGCCACCAAGCACCCGUCAUCUUCACAAGUCAAAAGAAAAGAAAAAACUGAAAAAAAAGAAAGGAGGGCCCAAAGGAGAGUCUUGAGAGUUUUUUUACUAUAGGAAACCAGCACAUUCAGCUGCGAGGAAGCUGAGAAACACAGAGGAGCAAAGAGGAGGAGGGACCGCCAUUCCAACAGCAGCCCCAGUCCGCCCUCCCUUUCCCAGCCUCCUCUGCCGACGUGUCCCCCUCCUCCCCUUCCUCCCCGGCUGCCUGCCCCCUUCUCUUGUAUCGCAAGAAGCAGCCCACGCCACCAUCUUAGGAGAAGGCUGGCAUGAAAUGGAAGUGCGAACCCGAGCAGGUUCAAUCUGCCAUUACCACACUUCCUUGCAUAUUGCAGGAGGAAAGAGAAACAGCGUGAUGUCAGCUUGACCUUGGCUGAGCUCUUACCAUGAUGUGCACCCACCUCCAGUCUCCAUCAUGGCACAGUGUUAAUUGCCUGUGCUUGGAACCAGACUUCAGACAUUCCAGUUUAAUUUGGUUUGUGCCCCAACAUUUGAAUAUUGAAGCACUUCAUCAGCUCUGCUGAGAUCCUGGGAACACAGGAUUGACUGGAACAUUGUCUUUGAUCACAUGACCUGUGACAGGAGGAACUGGGGAUCGCUGCCACUCCCCUGGAACUGGAUGCCUGGAUUCCAUGAUUUAAUUUUUGGACAGAGACACAUUAGAAUGGACGCUUGGAAAUACCUGACUAUGAUCAAAAUAAUUUCAGUUUGUUCUCCAAAUCUUGCAGAAUAUGGGCUACUUGAUCCUGAUCCUGGAGGGCCACAACUCAGAAUUUCCCAGCCCUGUAUACACCACUCAGUCAGGAGGCCAAUGCUUUGGUCAGUGAAAACUAACAGCUAUGGUGGCCUUCCAGGACCAAGACUGAAUACUCUGAGAGGACACACUUGGACAGCUCUCAAUCUUGAUCCUCUAUAGAAAUGAUUGUGUUCUACAGCAAUGCAUCACCCUCCAUCUGUUGACUAUUUGUCAAUAAAUGCACUCAAAGUAGGGAACUGCUUGACCAGAGAGAAAACUUUCAUAUUUCAAUAUUUUCAUGGGUUUGGAAUUGACAAUGUAUGUUUUUG
Long non-coding RNA from Conger conger (European conger), 1126 nucleotides. RefSeq lists it as uncharacterized. The record is from RefSeq and is a predicted model, not a curated record. NCBI's taxonomy places the organism in Eukaryota, Metazoa, Chordata, Actinopteri, Anguilliformes, Congridae. The transcript is spliced from 3 exons.